ACUGACAGCCAUGGUUACCGCGGCUGCUGGCACGGAGUUAGCCGGUGCUUCUUCUGUGAGUGAUGUCCUUCCUGCCGGUUAUUGACCCGCAGGCCUUCUUCCUCACUGAAAGUGCUUUACAACCCGAAGGCCUUCUUCACACACGCGGCAUGGCUGGAUCAGGGUUGCCCCCAUUGUCCAAUAUUCCCCACUGCUGCCUCCCGUAGGAGUCUGGGCCGUGUCUCAGUCCCCAGUGUGGCUGAUCAUCCUCUCAGACCAGCUACGGAUCGUCGCCUUGGUGAGCCGUUACCUCACCAACCAGCUAAUCCGACAUAGGCUCAUCCGAUAGCGCGAGGCCCGAAGGUCCCCCGCUUUCCCCCGUAGGGCGUAUGCGGUAUUAGCCUGGGUUUCCCCCAGGUUAUCCCCCACUACCGGGCAGAUUCCUAUGCAUUACUCACCCGUCCGCCGCUCGCCACCAGGGAGCAAGCUCCCCGUGCUGCCGCUCGACUUGCAUGUG
RNAcentral lists this ribosomal RNA (496 nucleotides) under uncultured bacterium. Its description in RNAcentral is "partial 16S ribosomal RNA". The record is from RNAcentral.